Molecule: long non-coding RNA, 1806 nt
Filed under: Equus caballus (horse)
Lineage: Eukaryota; Metazoa; Chordata; Mammalia; Perissodactyla; Equidae
Description: lncRNA (ENSECAG00000045256.1)
Source: RNAcentral
CCCGACGAUAUUCCUAUGAAUGGGAACUAAUAGAGAGCGUGGUCUCAGAUCUCACCGUCUAUUAACAAAAAUCGGCCCAGGAUACAGAGUUCAGUGCAGUAUGAAAUGCAGCUUUGAGAAGAGCUGUAAGGUUGCAGGAGACAGUAAGAAAAUACAGAGUAGCUGUUGCAGCAAAAGUCCCGGUGAAUACCUGGAUGACAACAGGCACUUUAGCCCGAUGAUGAGGGCAUCCUGUUUGGUUAAAAGGGGCAGUGACAAGGAAAUGCUUUUAUUGAAACAGAGAAACAUAAAAAACAUGCUUUCAAAACCUGUGGUUUAAAAAAGAAGAAUAGAUCUGUAGAAAGGUGGACUUAUAGUUGGGAUUUGGAACACACAUCAAGGAAAGGCCAUGUGAAGACACAGCAAGAAGGUGGUUGUCUGCAAGCCAGGAAAGGAGCUCUCACCAAAAUCUCAAUCAGCCAGCACCUUGAUCUUGGACUUGCCAGCCUCCAGAACUAUGAGAAACAAAUAUCUGUUGUUUAAGCCAUGAAACCUAUGAUUUUAUUACAGUAUCCUGAGCAGACUAAGACACCAAGGAUGUGAGAAUGAGUCAUACUGUGGUGGGUCUGCAGCAUUCCUCCGCCCCCUUCUUCAGUAGCCCAGGUACUUUGCGGAGUGCUGACUGCUCCCCAGCAAGUCCUCAGUCGCCUGAAGCCAGUGGCAGUGGGGGAAUGUGGUCCUGAUUGGUUCUGGCAGACACUCUGAGUCCUGUUGAAGAGGAUCCUUGAGAUGAAGCAGAUAUCCCAGAAAGCGGAGCAGAAAGAAGGAAACAGUCCGCACUAAAUCUGGCAACCACGGAGCCUCCUCUAUCUCUGGACUUCCGAUGACUGGGGCUAAUAAACCUACUUUGUUGUUUGUGCUGUUCCACUUUGCUCUCUUGGCCCUCAUGACAUAAAAAGAGUCCUAACUCACUGCAACAUGAAAGAAGAAAGCAGAAUGGAGUGAAAUCAAACCAGCAAAGGGUGGAAAUCAUGAGAAAAAUCUAACCAUAAAUAAAAAUAAGAAUUAGAGCGAGAGUAUCCAUGCUUUGCAAAAGUUCGUCAAAUGAUAAGAAACCCUUUUGUAAAUAGGUUUUAUGAUUUUUUUUUUGGUCAAAAAUGGAUAGUGAUUAAAAAUAUCUUGUUAACUUUUCAAAAAUAUGCAUUAAAGGAGCAAACCAAUAGCAGCUCCAAAGUGAUUUAGGUAAAUCUGUCCUUCUAGGAGUUCACAAUGAGAAGCCUAGUAACAGUCAUUAACAUACUCAGGUCGUGUCACUAAUACUGCAUUUACAAGUCUACAGUUUUCUUGUUUAUUUUAAAGUAUAUUCAGUUAAGGCAUAAAUCUUUUUUGAUUCCAUACUGAAGGUGUCUGUAAGCAAUUUUGUGAAAGAAAAGGAACUUUAAGAGACAGAGUGAAUCUAAGGUGAGUCCAGACCUUAUCCAAGUGACCAGAAAUAUUAGGGCAGUACUUUUAUUUAAAAAAUAAUCUUGACAUGUAAAAAGCAACAGAAAGGAAAAAUAUUGUAGGAUUCCACUUUUUUAAGGUAUCCAGAAUAUGUAAAUUCAUAGAGACAAAGAGUAGAGGUUAUCAGGGACUAGGGAGAAAGGAGAACGGGGAGUUACUAUUUAAUGGAUACAAGGUUUCUGUUUGGGAAGAUGAAAAAGUUCUGUUUCACAACAUUGUGAAUGUACUUAACAAGCCAUUGAAGUGUACACUGAAAAAUGGUUAAAUGGAAAAUUUCAUGGUAUGUAUAUUUUAUCACAAUAACCCUUGAUAGAACAAAAUUUG